Molecule: ribosomal RNA, 254 nt
Filed under: uncultured bacterium
Lineage: Bacteria
Description: partial 16S ribosomal RNA
Rfam family: Bacterial small subunit ribosomal RNA
Source: RNAcentral
UACGAAGGGGGCUAGCGUUGCUCGGAAUCACUGGGCGUAAAGCGCACGUAGGCGGAUCUUUAAGUCAGGGGUGAAAUCCCGGAGCUCAACUCCGGAACUGCCUUUGAUACUGGGGAUCUUGGAGUCCGGGAGAGGUGAGUGGAACUGCGAGUGUAGAGGUGAAAUUCGUAGAUAUUCGCAAGAACACCAGUGGCGAAGGCGGCUCACUGGCCCGGUACUGACGCUGAGGUGCGAAAGCGUGGGGAGCAAACAGG